Long non-coding RNA from Olea europaea var. sylvestris, 581 nucleotides. RefSeq lists it as uncharacterized. The transcript is spliced from 6 exons. The record is from RefSeq and is a predicted model, not a curated record. NCBI's taxonomy places the organism in Eukaryota, Viridiplantae, Streptophyta, Magnoliopsida, Lamiales, Oleaceae.
UAUUUUGCUGUAUAUUAACAGGAAGAAGCUGAGCUGGAAGAAGAGGAGAGAUCUGAAGAAGAAUCAGAAGAGGAGUCUGAGGAUGAAGCUGGAGCUGAAAAGCUGAAAGGCACUCAAGGUAUUAUUCAGGUUGACAAUCCUAAUGUGGCAAAACCAAAGAACGUGAAAGCACGAGAUAUCGAUAUGGAAAAAACAACUGAGCUUUCUAGGCGUGAAAGAGAGGAGAUUGAAAGACAAAAAGCUCACGAAAGGUACAUGAGGCUGCAAGAACAAGGAAAGACAGAACAGGCGAGGAAAGAUUUAGAGCGUUUGGCCCUUAUACGACAACAGAGAGCAGAAGCAGCUAAAAAACGAGAAGAGGAGAAAACUGCCAAAGAGCAGAAGAAGUCGGAAGCUCGCAAAUAAUUUUGGCAAUGCUCCAAGAAUUGAUAUCAAGCAAGUAGCUGGAUACGAGUUCACGGAUUAUUAUAUUUCUCUGUUGGCUAUUGUUACAACAGAUGUUCACUCCAUCGUCAUUGCUGGUUCGUCCAUGUUAUACAUUAAUUAUAUAAUUAUAAAUAAAAUGAGAUGGUUCAACAUAA